AGAGUCUUGUUUGGAGUUGUGUGGGGUUGAAUAAUUAUAUUUGUAAUAUUUCAGAAGUUAGUAGAAAAAGAAAAGAAAAAUAGAAAAGAAAAAAAUGAAUGAAAAAAAUAAAAGGAUGUCAAUCAAUACACACUCCUUCUGAAAAAGAAAAAAAAAAGAGAAAGGAGAAGAGAAAACAAUUGUUAGAGUUGUUCAAGUAAAUGAAAUAUUUUGUAAAUUCAACUCCCGCAGUUUCUUUCAAGUCUAUUUUAUCUCUUUGAAU
Molecule: long non-coding RNA, 262 nt
Filed under: Lathyrus oleraceus (garden pea)
Lineage: Eukaryota; Viridiplantae; Streptophyta; Magnoliopsida; Fabales; Fabaceae
Description: Pisum sativum (pea) long non-coding RNA (PSAT_LNC030591)
Source: RNAcentral